RNAcentral lists this transfer RNA (68 nucleotides) under Ips calligraphus. RNAcentral describes it as "tRNA-Val". The record is from RNAcentral. Lineage: Eukaryota; Metazoa; Arthropoda; Insecta; Coleoptera; Curculionidae.
UAGGGUAAAGCUUUUUAGAAGUUUUUUAGUUACAUUAAAGAGAAUAUUAUUAUAAUAAUAUACCUUAA